GAUGAACGCUGGCGGCACGCUUAACACAUGCAAGUCGAACGAGGUCCAUGGAGCUUGCUCCGGAAGACCUAGUGGCGAACGGGUGCGUAACACGUGAGAAACCUGCCCUGGACUUCGGAAUAACAGUUGGAAACGACUGCUAAUGCCGAAUACCACCUUCACCCCGCAUGGGGAGAUGUUGAAAGGUCAGCCGGUUCAGGAGGGUCUCACGGCCUAUCAGCUUGUUGGAGAGGUAACGGCUCACCAAGGCAUCGACGGGUAGCUGGUCUGAGAGGAUGAUCAGCCACACUGGAACUGAGACACGGUCCAGACUCCUACGGGUGGCUG
Molecule: ribosomal RNA, 327 nt
Filed under: uncultured Actinomycetes bacterium
Lineage: Bacteria; Bacillati; Actinomycetota; Actinomycetes
Description: bacterial SSU rRNA
Rfam family: Bacterial small subunit ribosomal RNA
Source: RNAcentral